This 77-nucleotide transfer RNA is filed under the name Candidatus Yanofskybacteria bacterium RIFCSPHIGHO2_02_FULL_41_11. Its description in RNAcentral is "tRNA-Lys". It matches the Rfam family "tRNA". From Rfam's summary of the family: Transfer RNA (tRNA) molecules are approximately 80 nucleotides in length. The record is from RNAcentral. Lineage: Bacteria; Candidatus Yanofskyibacteriota.
CCGCCCGUAGCUCAGUCUGGUAGAGCACCUGCCUUUUAAGCAGUGUGUCGUUGGUUCGAAUCCAACCGGGCGGACUA